Molecule: ribosomal RNA, 770 nt
Filed under: uncultured bacterium
Lineage: Bacteria
Description: bacterial SSU rRNA
Rfam family: Bacterial small subunit ribosomal RNA
Source: RNAcentral
AGAGUUUGAUCCUGGCUCAGGACGAACGCUGGCGGCGUGCUCAACACAUGCAAGUCGAACGGAAAGGCCCUUCGGGGUACUCGAGUGGCGAACGGGUGAGUAACACGUGGGUGAUCUGCCCUGCACUUUGGGAUAAGCCUGGGAAACUGGGUCUAAUACCGAAUAUGACCACGCUCUUCAUGGGGUGUGGUGGAAAGCUUUUGCGGUGUGGGAUGGGCCCGCGGCCUAUCAGCUUGUUGGUGGGGUAAUGGCCUACCAAGGCGACGACGGGUAGCCGGCCUGAGAGGGUGACCGGCCACACUGGGACUGAGAUACGGCCCAGACUCCUACGGGAGGCAGCAGUGGGGAAUAUUGCACAAUGGGCGCAAGCCUGAUGCAGCGACGCCGCGUGAGGGAUGACGGCCUUCGGGUUGUAAACCUCUUUCACCAGGGACGAAGCGCAAGUGACGGUACCUGGAGAAGAAGCACCGGCCAACUACGUGCCAGCAGCCGCGGUAAUACGUAGGGUGCGAGCGUUGUCCGGAAUUACUGGGCGUAAAGAGCUCGUAGGUGGUUUGUCGCGUUGUUCGUGAAAACUCACAGCUUAACUGUGGGCGUGCGGGCGAUACGGGCAGACUAGAGUACUGCAGGGGAGACUGGAAUUCCUGGUGUAGCGGUGGAAUGCGCAGAUAUCAGGAGGAACACCGGUGGCGAAGGCGGGUCUCUGGGCAGUAACUGACGCUGAGGAGCGAAAGCGUGGGGAGCGAACAGGAUUAGAUACCCUGGUAGUC